Molecule: small nuclear RNA, 284 nt
Filed under: Hydnomerulius pinastri MD-312
Lineage: Eukaryota; Fungi; Basidiomycota; Agaricomycetes; Boletales
Description: U2 spliceosomal RNA
Rfam family: U2 spliceosomal RNA
About the family: U2 is a small nuclear RNA (snRNA) component of the spliceosome (involved in pre-mRNA splicing). Complementary binding between U2 snRNA (in an area lying towards the 5' end but 3' to hairpin I) and the branchpoint sequence (BPS) of the intron results the bulging out of an unpaired adenosine, on the BPS, which initiates a nucleophilic attack at the intronic 5' splice site, thus starting the first of two transesterification reactions that mediate splicing.
Source: Rfam by way of RNAcentral
UUACCACUCUGGCCUUUUGGCUUAGAUCAAGUGUAGUAUGUCAGAAUUAGAUUGCAAUGGAGCUGUAAGUUGGAUUCCGAUCAAAGUGACUUGCCUUAAAUGGAAAGGAAGCGCGUCAGUUCAGUUGCGUCUGUUCUUAAUAGUUUAACCACUAUUAUGAGGGCACCGCCCUCAUUCUUUGGUUAUCAAAUUUUUGUCGCCCUUGAUCCUUGCGAGCUCUGCUUGCAACUCCGGGGACGCAAUGACCUUGCUACUGCACUACCGGCUUGUGUUGUCGGGGGAUU